This 442-nucleotide ribosomal RNA is filed under the name uncultured bacterium. RNAcentral describes it as "partial 16S ribosomal RNA". It matches the Rfam family "Bacterial small subunit ribosomal RNA", at positions 338 to 795 of the family's 1533-position model. The record is from RNAcentral.
CCUACGGGAGGCAGCAGUAGGGAAUCUUUCACAAUGGGCGAAAGCCUGAUGGAGCAACGCCGCGUGCAGGAUGAAGGCCUUCGGGUUGUAAACUGCUUUUAUAAGCGAGAAAUAUGAUGGUAACUUAUGAAUAAGGAUCGGCUAACUACGUUCCAGCAGCCGCGGUCAUACGUAGGAUCCGAGCAUUAUCCGGAGUGACUGGGUGUAAAGAGUUGCGUAGGUGGCAUAAUAAGUAGCUAGUGAAAUCUGGUGGCUCAACCAUUCAGACUAUUAGCUAAACUGUUAAGCUCGAGACCGUUAGGGGUAACUGGAAUUUCUAGUGUAGGAGUGAAAUCCGUAGAUAUUAGAAGGAACACCAAUAGCGUAGGCAGGUUGCUGGGACGGUUCUGACACUAAGGCACGAAAGCGUAGGGAGCAAACGGGAUUAGAUACCCGAGUAGUC